UAAACGGUUGUAUUUUUAAGUUUAAGUUUCUUUUUCAUAGGCUGAAUCUUUAAUUUAAGUAAAAAUACUUAAAUAAGCUAGAGGGACGAUAAGACCCUAAAAUUUUUAUUUUGAUAGGGUGUGACUUAGUAAAGGUCAUUUUUUACAGAUUUAAUAGAUUUGGCUGGGGCAGUGACUUUUUUUAACCGAGAGUGUGCUCGUGCGGCUUGGUUUAAUGACCCUUUAUAUUAAGAUAGGUAGGACCAAUUACUUUAGGGGUAACAGCGUUAUUCACUCGUUGAGACCUUAUCUAUGAGUGAGAUUACGACCUCGAUGUUGAAUUAUAAAUUCUUUGCGCAGAAAAAGGCACGAUAGAGGGUUUGUUCAACCCUUAAAAUUUUACAUGAUUU
Molecule: ribosomal RNA, 389 nt
Filed under: Monoculodes sp. BOLD:ADF5546
Lineage: Eukaryota; Metazoa; Arthropoda; Malacostraca; Amphipoda; Oedicerotidae
Description: partial 16S ribosomal RNA
Rfam family: Bacterial large subunit ribosomal RNA (bases 199-389)
Source: RNAcentral